Molecule: non-coding RNA, 106 nt
Organism: Hordeum vulgare subsp. vulgare (domesticated barley)
Lineage: Eukaryota; Viridiplantae; Streptophyta; Magnoliopsida; Poales; Poaceae
Source: Rfam
GAUAUACUCCCUCCGUCCCAAAAUAAGUGUCGCUGACUUAGUAUAAAAUUUAUACUAAUUUAGUUAUAAAUUUGCGACACUUAUUUUGGGACAGAGGGAGUACAUA